GACGAACGCUGGCGGCGUGCUUAACACAUGCAAGUCGAACGGUGAACCUCUUCGGAGGGGAUCAGUGGCGAACGGGUGCGUAACACGUGGGCAACCUGCCCCCGGCUCUGGGAUAACUCCAAGAAAUUGGGGCUAAUACCAGAUGUUCACCGCUUCCCGCAUGGGUGGUUGUGAAAAGGUUUUCCGGCUGGGGAUGGGCCCGCGGCCUAUCGGCUUGUUGGGGGGGUAGUGGACUACCAAGGCGACGACGGGUAGCCGGGCUGGGCGGGUGACAGGCCAACUGGGGAGUGAGAUACGGCCGAGACUCAUAGGGGGGGGAGGAGGGGGGAAUAUGGGAAAAGGGGCGGACGCAUGAGGCAGCACCGCCGGGGGGGGGAUGAGGGCUUUGGGGUUGUAACCCGCUUUCGCAUGGGACGAAGCGUGAGUGAGGGUAAUGGGUAAAGAAGCACCGGCUAACUACGU
This 462-nucleotide ribosomal RNA is filed under the name uncultured bacterium. RNAcentral describes it as "partial 16S ribosomal RNA". It matches the Rfam family "Bacterial small subunit ribosomal RNA", at positions 28 to 506 of the family's 1533-position model. The record is from RNAcentral.